GAGUAACACGUGAGUCAACCUGCCCUUGACUCUGGGAUAAGCCCGGGAAACUGGGUCUAAUACCGGAUAGGAGCGCCUGUCGCAUGACGGGUGCUGGAAAGAUUUUUCGGUCAUGGAUGGACUCGCGGCCUAUCAGCUUGUUGGUGAGGUAACGGCUCACCAAGGCGACGACGGGUAGCCGGCCUGAGAGGGUGACCGGCCACACUGGGACUGAGACACGGCCCAGACUCCUACGGGAGGCAGCAGUGGGGAAUAUUGCACAAUGGGCGGAAGCCUGAUGCAGCGACGCCGCGUGAGGGAUGACGGCCUUCGGGUUGUAAACCUCUUUCAGNAGGGAAGAAGCGAAAGUGACGGUACCUGCAGAAGAAGCACCGGCUAACUACGUGCCAGCAGCCGCGGUAAUACGUAGGGUGCGAGCGUUAUCCGGAAUUAUUGGGCGUAAAGAGCUCGUAGGCGGUUUGUCGCGUCUGUCGUGAAAGUCCGGGGCUUAACCCCGGAUCUGCGGUGGGUACGGGCAGACUAGAGUGCAGUAGGGGAGACUGGAAUUCCUGGUGUAGCGGUGGAAUGCGCAGAUAUCAGGAGGAACACCGAUGGCGAAGGCAGGUCUCUGGGCUGUAACUGACGCUGAGGAGCGAAAGCAUGGGGAGCGAACAGGAUUAGAUACCCUGGUAGUCCAUGCCGUAAACGUUGGGCACUAGGUGUGGGGACCAUUCCACGGUUUCCGCGCCGCAGCUAACGCAUUAAGUGCCCCGCCUGGGGAGUACGGCCGCAAGGCUAAAACUCAAAGGAAUUUGACGGGGGCCCGCACAAGGCGGCGGAGCAUGCGGAUUAAUUCGGAUGCAACGGCGAAGAACCUUACCAAGGCUUGAC
This 870-nucleotide ribosomal RNA is filed under the name Micrococcus sp. DFM59a. RNAcentral describes it as "bacterial SSU rRNA". It matches the Rfam family "Bacterial small subunit ribosomal RNA", at positions 108 to 985 of the family's 1533-position model. The record is from RNAcentral. Lineage: Bacteria; Bacillati; Actinomycetota; Actinomycetes; Micrococcales; Micrococcaceae.